GGUAGCUUGCUAUCGCGGGGUUGUAGGACCCUUGUAGUGAUCGGUCAGUAAGUAUGUGAAGUUCGCUGGAAAGCGACGCCAUAGUAGGUGAUAGCCCUGUAACUUAAACUGAACGCCGCACGUGGGUAUCCUGAGUAGUGCGGGACACGAGAAAUCCUGUGCGAAUCUGGGAGGACCAUCUUCCAAGGCUAAAUACUCUCUGAUGACCGAUAGCGAAAUAGUACCGCGAGGGAAAUGUGAAAAGAACCCUUACUAAGGGAGUGAAAAUAGAACCUGAAACCGUAUGCUUACAAGCUGUCGGAGCCGCGCUUCGGCGUGGUGACGGCGUGCCUUUUGCAUAAUGAGCCAGCGAGUUACUCGUACGUUGCAAGGUUAAGAAGUCAUCAAGCUUCGUAGCCGUAGCGAAAGCAAGUCUGAAAAUGGGCGAUUAGUAACGUGCGGUAGACGCGAAACCUCAGUGAUCUAGCCAUGGCCAGGUUGAAGUAGGGGUAAAACCCCUAUGGAGGACCGAACCGGUGUAAGUUGAAAGUUGCUCG
This 536-nucleotide ribosomal RNA is filed under the name uncultured bacterium. Its description in RNAcentral is "bacterial LSU rRNA". It matches the Rfam family "Bacterial large subunit ribosomal RNA", at positions 278 to 802 of the family's 2925-position model. The record is from RNAcentral.